RNAcentral lists this ribosomal RNA (741 nucleotides) under uncultured Staphylococcus sp. RNAcentral describes it as "bacterial SSU rRNA". It matches the Rfam family "Bacterial small subunit ribosomal RNA", at positions 40 to 763 of the family's 1533-position model. The record is from RNAcentral. Lineage: Bacteria; Bacillati; Bacillota; Bacilli; Caryophanales; Staphylococcaceae.
CGGCGUGCCUAAUACAUGCAAGUCGAGCGAACGGACGAGAAGCUUGCUUCUCUGAUGUUAGCGGCGGACGGGUGAGUAACACGUGGAUAACCUACCUAUAAGACUGGGAUAACUCCGGGAAACCGGAGCUAAUACCGGAUAAUAUUUUGAACCGCAUGGUUCAAAAGUGAAAGACGGUCUUGCUGUCACUUAUAGAUGGAUCCGCGCUGCAUUAGCUAGUUGGUAAGGUAACGGCUUACCAAGGCAACGAUGCAUAGCCGACCUGAGAGGGUGAUCGGCCACACUGGAACUGAGACACGGUCCAGACUCCUACGGGAGGCAGCAGUAGGGAAUCUUCCGCAAUGGGCGAAAGCCUGACGGAGCAACGCCGCGUGAGUGAUGAAGGUCUUCGGAUCGUAAAACUCUGUUAUUAGGGAAGAACAUAUGUGUAAGUAACUGUGCACAUCUUGACGGUACCUAAUCAGAAAGCCACGGCUAACUACGUGCCAGCAGCCGCGGUAAUACGUAGGUGGCAAGCGUUAUCCGGAAUUAUUGGGCGUAAAGCGCGCGUAGGCGGUUUUUUAAGUCUGAUGUGAAAGCCCACGGCUCAACCGUGGAGGGUCAUUGGAAACUGGAAAACUUGAGUGCAGAAGAGGAAAGUGGAAUUCCAUGUGUAGCGGUGAAAUGCGCAGAGAUAUGGAGGAACACCAGUGGCGAAGGCGACUUUCUGGUCUGUAACUGACGCUGAUGUGCGAAAGCGUG